GGUGCCAUCUUCUAAAUGGUCAGGAAACUGCCCUUUCAAGGCAGUAAUCUGGGUUCAAACCCCAGUGGCACUA
RNAcentral lists this transfer RNA (73 nucleotides) under Crassvirales sp. RNAcentral describes it as "tRNA-Glu". It matches the Rfam family "tRNA". From Rfam's summary of the family: Transfer RNA (tRNA) molecules are approximately 80 nucleotides in length. Lineage: Duplodnaviria; Heunggongvirae; Uroviricota; Caudoviricetes; Crassvirales. The record is from RNAcentral.